This 28-nucleotide non-coding RNA is filed under the name Mus musculus (house mouse). Lineage: Eukaryota; Metazoa; Chordata; Mammalia; Rodentia; Muridae. The record is from RNAcentral.
UGGUUCACUGAGGCAUCAGUGUGGCAUC